RNAcentral lists this ribosomal RNA (484 nucleotides) under uncultured bacterium. RNAcentral describes it as "partial 16S ribosomal RNA". It matches the Rfam family "Bacterial small subunit ribosomal RNA", at positions 30 to 507 of the family's 1533-position model. The record is from RNAcentral.
AUUGAACGCUGGCGGCAGGCCUAACACAUGCAAGUCGAGCGGAUGAAGGGUGCUUGCUCCUGGAUUCAGCUGCCGACUGGUGAGUAAUUCCUAGGAAUCUGCCUGUUAGUGUGUGAUAACGUCCGGACACGGGCGCUAAUACCGCAUACGUCCUUAGGGAGUAAGUGGGGGAUCUUCGGAUCUUCCGCUAUCAGAUGAUCCUAGGUCGGAUUAGCUAGUUGGUGGGGUAAAGGCCUACCAAGGCGACGAUCCGUAACUGGUCUGAGAGGAUGAUCAGUCACACUGGAACUGAGACACGGUCCAGACUCCUACGGGAGGCAGCAGUGGGGAAUAUUGGACAAUGGGCGAAAGCCUGAUCCAGCCAUGCCGCGUGUGUGAAGAAGGUCUUCGGAUUGUAAAGCACUUUAAGUUGGGAGGAAGAGCAGUAAGUUAAUACCUUGCUGUUUUGACGGUACCAAAAGAAUAAGCACCGGCUAACUUCGUG